This 440-nucleotide ribosomal RNA is filed under the name uncultured bacterium. Its description in RNAcentral is "partial 16S ribosomal RNA". It matches the Rfam family "Bacterial small subunit ribosomal RNA", at positions 338 to 795 of the family's 1533-position model. The record is from RNAcentral.
CCUACGGGUGGCUGCAGUGGGGAAUAUUGCACAAUGGGGGAAACCCUGAUGCAGCGACGCCGCGUGAUCGAUGAAGGACUUCGGGAUGUAAAGCUCUUUCAUCAGGGAAGAAAUUUACGGUUACUCGCAAAGUAGCCCCGGCUAACUACCUGCCAGCAGCCGCGGUAAUACCUAGGGGGCAAGCGUUUUCCGGAUUUACUGGGGGGAAAGGGGGGGUAGACGGGGAUGCAAGCCAGAUGUGAAAGCCCGGGGCUCAACCCCGCGACUGCAUUUGGAAAUGUGUGGCUGGAGUGUCGGAGAGGCAGGCGGAAUUCCUAGUGUAGCGGUGAAAUGCGUAGAUAUUAGGAGGAACACCAGUGGCGAAGGCGGCCUGCUGGACGAUGACUGACGUUGAGGCUCGAAAGCGUGGGGAGCAAACAGGAUUAGAUACCCGAGUAGUC